GAUCCUGGCUCAGGACGAACGCUGGCGGCGUGCCUAACACAUGCAAAUCGAACGGAACUGUUUUGAAAGAUUUCUUCGGAAUGAAUUUGAUUUAGUUUAGUGGCGGACGGGUGAGUAACGCGUGAGUAACCUGCCCUCAAGAGGGGGAUAACAUUCUGAAAAGAAUGCUAAUACCGCAUGAUAUAUCGGAACCACAUGGUUUUGAUAUCAAAGAUUUUAUCGCUUGAAGAUGGACUCGCGUCCGAUUAG
RNAcentral lists this ribosomal RNA (249 nucleotides) under uncultured bacterium. RNAcentral describes it as "partial 16S ribosomal RNA". It matches the Rfam family "Bacterial small subunit ribosomal RNA", at positions 15 to 244 of the family's 1533-position model. The record is from RNAcentral.